AUGUCGAUCGUGCGGCGGAGCAACGUGUUCGACCCCUUCGCCGACCUCUGGGCGGACCCCUUCGACGCCUUCCGCUCCAUCGUCCCGGCGAUCUCAGGCGGCAGCAGCAGCGAGACGGCCGCGUUCGCCAGUGCUCGCGUGGACUGGAAGGAGACCCCCGAGGCGCACGUCUUCAAGGCCGACCUCCCCGGCGUGAAGAAGGAGGAGGUCAAGGUGGAGGUGGAGGACGGCAACGUGCUCGUCGUCAGCGGCGAGCGGAGCAGGGAGAAGGAGGACAAGAACGACAAGUGGCACCGCGUGGAGCGCAGCAGCGGCAAGUUCGCGAGGCGCUUCCGGCUGCCGGAGGACGCCAAGGUGGAGGAGGUGAAGGCCGGGCUGGAGAACGGCGUGCUCACCGUCACCGUGCCAAAGGCCCACGUCAAGAAGCCCGAGGUGAAGGCCAUCGAGAUAUCCGGCUGA
Molecule: ribosomal RNA, 459 nt
Filed under: Triticum aestivum (bread wheat)
Lineage: Eukaryota; Viridiplantae; Streptophyta; Magnoliopsida; Poales; Poaceae
Description: partial small subunit ribosomal RNA
Source: RNAcentral